Molecule: long non-coding RNA, 665 nt
Filed under: Olea europaea (common olive)
Lineage: Eukaryota; Viridiplantae; Streptophyta; Magnoliopsida; Lamiales; Oleaceae
Description: long non-coding RNA (OEUR_LNC001056)
Source: RNAcentral
GGCUAAAUUUCAUUCAUUCAUUCUGUUAUUUGCAAUUCACAACUCAACUAGAUCUAAUAUCAAAUACCAUCCUAUAACAAUACUGAUAAUUAUUUAACAAUUACAAUCUAUCAUAAUGAAUGUAGAAGUUGGAAUUAAAUAACAAUAAACCAGGCAACAAGACGACAACUAACUAGUUGGACCUGCUAUAUUUUCCCACUUUAUUUUAGUUGCAGAGAUGUAAAGAGAAGCUUUCUCGUCGAUUCUAGGAUCAGCCACAUAUCGGUCUUUGUCUUGAUCACUAGGCCACACUUUGUAAGCCUUUAAAGAAUCUGGAGGAGUUGUAUCUUCAGCUGCCCUUCGACCCCUCGAGCUUUUGCCUUUGAAGAUGUUAAAAAGAGAGAGAGGAUUAGAAGAAGACUUCUUCUGCCUGUUGUUUCCUGCCAUAUUUACAGGAGACUAGGAGGGUUUUUGAGGGGAUUAAGAAGAAGGUUUUUUGAUUUCCCAAUCGUUGUGAAGUUGUGGUAUUUAUAUUUCCUGAGGCGGGGAAUCAAGGGUGGUGGAGAAUCAAUAUAUAGAUCUGAAGACCAAUAAUCAGAUUGAUGGCUGUGCUUAAAGGGAAUGAAAUUAUACUUUCUGCUCGUAAAUACUUACACAAAGAACAUGUAUUCUGGACCGCUUCUUCC